RNAcentral lists this non-coding RNA (29 nucleotides) under Homo sapiens (human). The record is from RNAcentral. Lineage: Eukaryota; Metazoa; Chordata; Mammalia; Primates; Hominidae.
UUCGCUAGUUGGCUGCUGCAUAUCUAAGC